RNAcentral lists this non-coding RNA (29 nucleotides) under Mus musculus (house mouse). The record is from RNAcentral. Lineage: Eukaryota; Metazoa; Chordata; Mammalia; Rodentia; Muridae.
UACACUGUUUAUCUCCUGGUUGUCUACUC